GCUGCUGCUGCUCGGAAAAGCCCUGGGGCGCGAGCUGCUGGCCAAGUCGCUGGCCAGUGCUGGAGCUCAGGCUGUGGCCGACGCUAUGGACGUUGCCGCCGCCGCUGCUACCCGCGCCACUGUUGUUGUGAAGCCCCGACGCCGUCGCUCACUCCGCCAUGUUGCCGCCCCCUGCCUGCGGUAGAGGCCACUGCGCCUGCGCAGAGCCUCAGGAGGCGGAGCUCUCACAGCACCCCCUCGGUCGCCCUGCCCUCCUUCUCCUUCCGCCCACCCACCCCGGCACCCCUAGUCCCUCCCCCAACCACACAACGGAUAGACAGAGGAGGUUCGUCAUCUUCGUAGUUGCAUCCAGCUGCUGCUACUGCCAGGGCCACGUGCCUUGUAAGCCAUGAAAGAGGCUGACAUGACACCUGCUCACACAGGCGCGACUUAAAAUAGAACUUGUCAAACAGUGAUCUCUGGAAAGGGCUCCGAACAGCAAACAGUUUUUAAACUCACCUCCCAGCCUAAAAAAAGCGACUCUUUGUGACACUGUGCGGUAACUAGGUGGGAGCAAUAGAUCAAGCCCUUUUAAAAUCCCCAACGAUCCUCAGGUAUGAUGCUGAUUAAUGAUGCCUCCCUUUUUCAUAGGCAUGCAUGGAGUAGAGGAUGUUUGAAAUUAGUGAAAAAAAAUGAUUUUCACUGCCAGCUUUGAUCCUUAAGUAGAUUUCGGGGUCUACUAGAAGACACCUUACUUUUAAUUUUAAAAAUUAGCGUGUUCUCAGUAAUCUUGCUGCUGGUAUUGAAUUAAAACUAAAUGAGCAUGACUGCUUAUUUCUUUCCCAAAAUGAAGGAUGAAAUUUUCUUGCACUUUUCGUUAAACAUGUAUUACAAGACACCAGAAAUACUAGGUAUCUGGAGGUAUUGUCAAAUCAUUUUAAUUGCCAUCUCAAACAAAAACAAAAAGUCAAUAUGCAAUCCAUUAUAAUCUGGUUUCUUAUUAAUUGUAUUUAAUUGGACCUGCUAGACAAGUUGACUCCCAAGAUAGAGGGACAUGGAAAAAUUCUAAAAUACCACAGGAUAUAAAAAAAGUUCUUUAAAACAAGUGCUUAGGAUUUGCUCUUUGUUGUAUGUUUGUUUAAACUUGUACUGAAGUAGUUAAGCAAAAAAAAUUUAACUGCUGUAUUUAUUUGAGUAGCAAUGGAAUUACUAAAUUCUAAAUUCUAGCAAGGUUGAAACUGUAUGGGAAAUGUUUAAAACAUUUGUCUUAGUGUGGUUUGAGAUACACUGUAAAUGACAAACUGUCACAUUUAUAGCUAUCUACAGCAUUUUUGUCUUUCUCAGGCAUAAAUCUAUUUCUGUGAUAGCUAUUUCAUAUUUCACUGCAUAUUUAAAUGAUACACCUUUUAAAAAUACAUAAAUCCAGAAUGAAAGGUCACCAUAGGUCAUCAUACCAUUUUUUUAUCCUACUAUAAACAUAAACAAAACAUAUAGAAUUUAUAUAAAACACACAUACACACACGGCAUAGGGUUCUACCUCUAUUUUUAGACUUCAUGCAUGACUGUUUUGAAAGACAACCUGAAUUUGUUUUCAUUAUGAAUAAAUAACAUUUUCACAUUUCCGUUUUGUUACUUAAGCAAAUGGUUUUGUUUUUCAUUCAUUUUUCUUUAGUCCAGACAAGUAGAUAAAGAGGAUAACACUAUUUCAAAGUAAGAAAAUCCAUUUCUUUUACAUACUUCACUCAGUUUCAGAGAUUUCUAGAAGAGGCUACCAAUGAAAAUAUUCUCCAGUAGACUUUCAGCUUCUCACAAGCAGGAUGGUACUGUGAAUAGUGCAGAGCUUCGAAUCAUGCUCAUAACUAAGUACCAAUGAAGUCUUCUCAUGCUAUUUGACCUUCACUAUCCUUGUUUCUUUUUUAAAUUAAUUUUAUUGGUACAUUCAGGAUAUACAAUAUAACGACAUUCAUCAUUGGAAAUUGCACCUUUACAUAAUAGUAUCCGUCUCAUAGGGAGGUGAGUAUUCAGUAAAAUAAUUUUUAUUCAGCAGCUAUCAUACACUAAAUUAUGUGUGUCAAGUGACAUAUAAACACAUGUGAAAUAAAGUAUAACCAUGUACAUGUCUUUAUAAUUUCAGUUAUAUGUUUUCAAUAUUAUCUCUAAAUCAUAAAGAUUAGAAAAGAAAACAAGUCUAUUUCCUUUUGGCCUACAAAGCCUAUUUCCCCAGAAAUGUACAAAUAAUUUAGUAUUACAUUCAGAAUAUUUUGAAACAGAAGCUCUAUAAUCACAGAAAACUCCAAAUAUGUUAACUUUCAAAUCUCCAGCAUAAAAACAUGUCAUGUGGUGAAUAUUAAUUUUGUAUACAUUUUUACAUGCUCAUACUUCCAAAAGUAACCCUUCAAAGAUCAGAAGCCCAUGAAUUUCAGUUAUAAGAGGCCGUAUUGCACAGUGAUUGAGAGUACAAGCCCUAGAUUCAACAGAACCUGAGUUGUUCCACCUCCUACUUCUAUACGCCAUCUUGAGCAAAUGACUGAGCUUCACAGCCUCAAUUUACCCAAGCCAGUAUAGGGAUGAUAAUCCAAUUUCCUAAGAUUGAAGCCCCUACUACUGUAAAUUUAAAGUACUUAACAUGUAGCAACUGUCAACCAAUGAUGUUUCCCUUCCUUAGCUAAGGGAAAAGACCAUAUUGUAAUUUUUUGUGUGUUUUCAGAAUGCCUAAUUUAUAAUUUACAUUUGGAAAAAUGUGUUAAAAAUAUAUAAAAAUAAUAGUUCAAAGGAAAACUGUUCCUAUUCCCUUCACCUGCUCUGUAACGAACAGAUAUCUUUCUUUCCUCACUUCAAAUUUUGCAUGGGUUGAGACCAGUAUAAAACAAAGAGACUCUUACCUUAGCCUCAGCCUUUAGAAAUAUAACUUCCAUUGGGUAAUGAAAAAUUAAAUUAGAUUGGUUUGGUUUGGGUUGGGGUUUUGCAGCAGUGUGGCACUAAUGAUUCAUUUAAUAUAGUAAUGGCUCAUGUUUGGUGCCUAGUAGGUUUUCAGAUAAUUUGGAAUCCAUUCCCCUUUCAUGUUGAAAUUAUUAUCAAACUUUUGUUUCUAGGCAUGUUGCUAUUAAACAACAGCUGAUUUCCAAUAUGUAUAUUAACAUGUCAAUUUUGAGACAGUAUACAGAAUUGUAUUAUCUAUUUAAAUUUAAAUUUUAUUUUAUUCACAUUUUAUGUAUAGUUUAUAUUUAAAUUUCAUCUGCAAGACAUUUCUUAUUUCUGAAUAUAUUGUAUAAAUGAUGUAUUGUCUUAUUCUUCAAGUUUGAGAGCAUUCCUUCUACAUUUUCAUCCAAAUAUUUGACUGAACAGUAUAAAAAUGACUCAGUAGUCAUUAGUAACAUUAUGGUAGGAAUCAACUCACAUUUUUCAAGCUGUAGGAGCUAAAUCUUUAGAGAGUCAUUAACUGAUUUUAUGGAUUACAAC
Molecule: long non-coding RNA, 3438 nt
Filed under: Fukomys damarensis (Damara mole-rat)
Lineage: Eukaryota; Metazoa; Chordata; Mammalia; Rodentia; Bathyergidae
Description: lncRNA (ENSFDAG00000029894.1)
Source: RNAcentral